RNAcentral lists this non-coding RNA (30 nucleotides) under Rattus norvegicus (Norway rat). The record is from RNAcentral. Lineage: Eukaryota; Metazoa; Chordata; Mammalia; Rodentia; Muridae.
UGAUUGUGCUUAUCUUGGCUACUCGUCCAC